CUGGCAGGCUGCAGGAAAGUCCCAAUAUUGCAUGAGUUACUUUUACCUCAGUGUCACUGGCUUUUGCUGUAUCUGGAAGUAUGACACUUAGAAAUUUACAGAAGUCUCAUUUUGAGUUAGAAAACAUCUUAACAGUACAGUGCCUUAGACAUAGAACCGGAAAAAGACUAGUGCUUCACUGCUAACAAGAAAGUGGAGACGACUCACUGCUACUAAAGAUUUAUGCCCAGUUCUCUCUAUCUUGUGUAAGGAGCAAGGUGAACCUCAUCUGGGUGCCAUGCUGAAGAGGCAUUCCUGGGAAGUUCCUGGAGAAAAGUUGGUUUCAUGAAUGCUGACUGUCUGAAUGGGAAACGACCCCUGAACAAUUUAGGGUAAUAUUCAUAUUUGACAUCGCACUACCAUGGAAGCUUGAAAAAUCUUAUCCAGAGGCUAUGUUAAAUCUUAUGUGAACUGCUCAAGAAGUUUGAGUUCAGAUGCCUUGCAAGAGAGGCUCUCACUGUGGUUUUGGUACCUGCUGCUUUUGACAUAUUUGGAAUUGUUGAAAACAGACAGUCUUUGUAGUAUUUUCAUUUUUGUUUCUGGUCAGAGCCUGACCUGGAAGGAAGCAAGUAGAGAAACUGCAAAACAACAUAAAGAAGCUAUUAAACCUUCUUUCCUUGGCUUUUUAGAUCUAUUCUGUUCUUUUGUAGCUUUGGGCAGGUGAAGUUCCUGGUUACUUCUCUCUCUGUAUGAAGAAAUUUACCAAUGUUUACUAAAAUAUGAAUGGCUUUAAAAAAAAAAAAAAAAGACUAUUGUACAGUAUGCUGUCACUAUUGGGAUGAUAGCUGUUUAAAACAGACUUCAGUGCAAUCAACCUGUUUUUGGCUUCAUAUACAGCCUGUUAAUAAACCAGCUUUGAUUUGCACUGUAUCUCACUAUGUUUAGAAAAGGAACAAUCCAGUGUCUUGAAAUCUUCCAGGAAAAUUACUUCAUUUAGAAGCUUGUUUUACAAAUAUAGAUGUUAAUUCCAAAGAAUUGAAUCUUCACUUCAUAGGAAAAUACCUUGUGUUUAUCUUCUGGAAUUAGUGGACAUAAAACAGUCAGUGCUGGGAGCCUACAGGAUGCGACUUUAAGUGAAGAAACAUGCUUUCAUCAUGGUUAAGAUAAACAAAGACCUAACUUGAGGAAGCAUGUCCUCUGGUUGGAGCUCAUUCUGGAGUUGCUUUCUGUGGAAGUUAUAAAUUGCUUUGUUGCUGUGUAAUAUGAAAAGUUUUUCGAAAUGUUGUUGUUGAGCUAUUGAUAUUUAAGAUCACCUCAUUAAUCUUCUCGGGGAGUAACAAAGUUAUCUCAGUUCAUGGGCUGACUUCCUAAAGUGGUUAAUAAUAAAAUAGAUAGCAGAGAAGUAGUAACGUUUUUUAAAAAAACAUGGCAUUAGUGAACCUUUGGACAUGAUUAAAGAUCGAUUUGAAAGGCCUAGAUACAUCAUAUAAAACGGUUUUAUAAUGUUGGGGAAAUGAUCUAGUCAAGGGUCAAAUGUACAGUGUGGAGAAUAGAAAAGAAACAGAGAAUGCUGAGCAGUGGUGAGCUUCAUGAAGAAAGGACUGUACAAAAAUGUAAGGAGUAGGUUUCUGUUUUUGUAUGCACUUGGAAAACUGAGAUGAAAAGCAGGAUUAGGUCGGCCUCUUGCAGCUGUGAGUAAAAAUCUUAAAAGCAAACUACUUUCUUAGAAGAAAAGGUACAGUACUGACCCUUACUGUCUCUGUGAUUUAUGUGAACUCUUGCAGGAAAGAGCUGCGAAAGAGAAGCAGCUCAAGGCAAUCAGAGCUUCUGCAAACAGAAGGAGGCAAGACAGUUGCCAGGGUUAGAAAGAGAAGACAGUCUCACCUACAGGGAGGCACUGGAGACAGUCAAGAGGCUCUGCAAAAGCUGUGAAACACUAGCCAAGAAUUGGGUGUAUAUGUGGAUAUUUAGAUGUCUUUGAGAGCUUAUGGUGAGGUUUCAAAAUGAGAAAUACAUUAAGAAUUGAAUGAAGUGUUUUGCUUUUUACCUUGAAUGCCUGUGCACACCAGGAAAUAGUAACAAUGAGAAACCUUGUGAAUGAGAUUAUUGUGCAAAGAGGAAAUCUGUGUCCCUUAGAGUCGUGCUCUCAGAAAUGACUGGAAUUGAACUGAACUUAAAAGGCUUUCUUAAAUCACUGGAAUAGCGUUGUGCAUUGCAUUUCUUGUUGUUCUGAAUGAUUGGAAAUAUCCAUAUUUCCUCUUGUAGUAUUCAAAAAUGACUAAUGAGAAUUCAGAAUAUGGACAUGUAAAUGAAUACUCAAGUGCCAGUCAAAAAAACUGCAUAUUUCCUUUUUUGGAGGGUGAACUUUUUGAUCACCCUAAAAGAAGAAAGACAGAUAACUCUAUGCUAAAAUGCAAUCUAAAAUGGUGGUGAUGGGAGGAAAACUGUGGGAAAACUGUGGAAACUGUAGGUUUUGUUUGAUCAUUUUCCAGGAGAUCUGCUAUGUUUGAAAGGAUGUCUGAGUAUCCAUGUAGCCACAUCAGGAUCUGCCCUGCCCCUGUUUUGGGGCAGACUUAAGGGAGGCUGCCCAACACUCAGAUGCCAGGAUUGGCACCGGCAGCCAUUGUAUAGGAUGAUUUGAGGAAUGUGUGGCAAAAAAAGUCUGCAGUACAAUUUGUGGAUCUGCUUUUAGCAUUGUUCAACCUGGCAACUCUGCUUAGUUCCAUUGGCAUCAGCUAGUGUUUUUCCGUAAUAUGCCAUUUGUGUCAGAGUACAUUUGAUCUUUAUAUUCAAAUUAAUUUGUUAGAUUAAUAUGUUUUGUUGAAUGCACUAUUGGAAAUGAAGAAAAUAAUCUGCUGUAUGGAGUACAUGGACAGUGUUUUUAGGGUGAGACCAAAUCAAAAUUAUUAUAAUAAAUUCAGUGCAGGAUUGGUUUUCUUUCUCUUCUGUAGUGGACUUGAAAACCUUUUUGAUGUGGUACAUAUUUGCUGAAUGGAUUUUUUUUCUUUCCUGAUGCUUCCAGCUUUUAUAGUACUGUGUAAUAUAUUUAUCCUGUAUCUUUGACUGUGAGUUCUGUCUUCUUUAAAUCUGAUUCUUAUUGCCAUCACAAUCUUAUUUAGACUGGAGACCUUUAGAGCAAGAAGCAUCUCUUCAUCAGACAUUACUUUUGGAGCAACUUAUGUAAUAAGUAGUAACAGCAGUGUUCAUUUAACCACCAUUGCUACCUUUAGGAGCAAUUAGAAUACAUGGCUGGAUAAACUAAAUCCUAGCUCUGGGCAACCACAAGAUGCCAUAGUUGAGGCGAGAGGAGUUGCAUAGUAAAAAUUAAUAUGUGAGACACCUGCCAUGGGGGAGGAAAUGGGAAAUAUGUUGCCAGUGUAGGAGUUGAAACAUUUAUGAAUAUUGCGUAAAUAA
Coturnix japonica (Japanese quail) is the source of this 3393-nucleotide non-coding RNA. The record is from RefSeq and is a predicted model, not a curated record. NCBI's taxonomy places the organism in Eukaryota, Metazoa, Chordata, Aves, Galliformes, Phasianidae.